GACGAACGCUGGCGGCGUGCUUAACACAUGCAAGUCGAACGGAAAGGCCCUGCUUUUGUGGGGUGCUCGAGUGGCGAACGGGUGAGUAACACGUGAGUAACCUGCCCUUGACUUUGGGAUAACUUCAGGAAACUGGGGCUAAUACCGGGUAGGAGCUCCUGCUGCAUGGUGGGGGUUGGAAAGUUUCGGCGGUUGGGGAUGGACUCGCGGCUUAUCAGCUUGUUGGUGGGGUAGUGGCUUACCAAGGCUUUGACGGGUAGCCGGCAUGAGAGGGUGACCGGCCACAUUGGGACUGAGAUACGGCCCAGACUCCUACGGGAGGCAGCAGUGGGGAAUAUUGCACAAUGGGCGGAAGCCAGAGGCAGCAACGCCGCGUGCGGGAUGACGGCCUUCGGGUUGUAAACCGCUUUCGCCUGUGACGAAGAGUGCGUGACGGUAAUGGGUAAAGAAGCACCGGCUAACUACGUG
Molecule: ribosomal RNA, 468 nt
Filed under: uncultured bacterium
Lineage: Bacteria
Description: partial 16S ribosomal RNA
Rfam family: Bacterial small subunit ribosomal RNA
Source: RNAcentral